UACGGAGGGAGCUAGCGUUGUUCGGAAUUACUGGGCGUAAAGCGCGCGUAGGCGGCUUUGUAAGUUAGAGGUGAAAGCCCGGGGCUCAACCCCGGAACUGCCUUUAAGACUGCAUCGCUUGAAUCCGGGAGAGGUGAGUGGAAUUCCGAGUGUAGAGGUGAAAUUCGUAGAUAUUCGGAAGAACACCAGUGGCGAAGGCGGCUCACUGGACCGGCAUUGACGCUGAUGUGCGAAAGCGUGGGGAGCGAACAGG
RNAcentral lists this ribosomal RNA (253 nucleotides) under uncultured bacterium. RNAcentral's name for it is "partial 16S ribosomal RNA". It matches the Rfam family "Bacterial small subunit ribosomal RNA", at positions 524 to 776 of the family's 1533-position model. The record is from RNAcentral.